GAAGUGCGAUAAGUAAUGUGAAUUGCAGUAUUCCGUGAAUCAUCGAAUCUUUGAACGCAAAUUGCACUUUCUGGUAUUCCGGAAAGUAUGCCUGUUUGAGGUCAGUUAAAUAAAAAUCGGUGUUGUUGCUGCCUUUCGUGGUGACGCGUCGGAUUUGGGUCGUCUUACCUUCGGUUAAGUGACUUAAAAUUUUUGCAUGAUUUUCGAACGUAUUUAAAUCGCUUACGUACAGUACGUUUGAGAUAUCGAAUGCUUAUUAGGUUCGGUCAUCCUCAUGACCCGCGCCUAUAAUUUUUUCAUUAAAUGACCUCAAAUCAGGUAAGAAUACCCGCUGAACUUAA
RNAcentral lists this unclassified non-coding RNA (341 nucleotides) under uncultured Glomeraceae. RNAcentral's name for it is "sequence contains ITS1". The stretch from base 1 to 104 matches the Rfam family "5.8S ribosomal RNA", at positions 50 to 154 of the family's 154-position model. Lineage: Eukaryota; Fungi; Glomeromycota; Glomeromycetes; Glomerales; Glomeraceae. The record is from RNAcentral.